CAGCAACAAUUACGUUGAUGAAGACGGUCUGAAGAUUACAUUAUGUGAGAGAGUUGAAAUAGCGAGGAAAAGUCGAGUAUCAUGUGUGACCUGUAGUGAAAAAAUGGAAUUGAGCCACUUUUUACUAUUACUAUAUACAUCUCGUACAAACUUUCCAUUUUUCGCAUCCUGCAUCCCCUCCUCUCGAUAGAUGAGUUGAUAGAAAACAAUUCCAUUGGUCUAUGCAUUUCCUGUCAUGAAUGUAUAUUGUCUGAAAGUCUUUCUACUCCUCUCACAUACCAAAAUUCUCAAAACUAGAUCGUGAAAACUCCAUUUUUAGUUGUAGCUAAUUGAAACGAUACAUUUUGUCCUUUCUCAUAUAGACGGUAUAUUGAGCAUUCAAACAAACUUUGCGGCAGCUGCAUCCUCCAGAACACUACAUCCAGCAGGUUUUUUAAAUAAUGGUUCAAAAACUUUGCGUUUGUCUUUGUUAGACGCUCCGUAUCUUUUUUAAGGUAGAAUAUCUACGAUACUCUGAGCGCAGAAGCAACUCGAUUGACUAAUGCUUUCAAAAGGUGCAGAUUCUUAGCUUAAUGCUUAGUGCACCUUUCGAACUUGUGGCCAAAUGAGUCCAAUUGCAAUAUCCAAUAGAAAAGGGAAUGAGGGGUUUGGAAUGAAAUAUAUCACUGACAUGGUGCAUUGGUCUAUAGUAUAACUUGAUUAAUUUGAAAAUGCGACCCCAUUUGCUGUUUCGAUUAUUAUCAUUUUUACCAUUGUCCCACAGUGCUGUCCUUGUCGACUCUGUAAGUUACAAAACCAAGUACUUGGAAACUCCUCGACUUACUUUAUGUUUUAUAAUGUUGUACCGCACCUUUAAUUACCUUUAUACUCGUAUUUUACAGCAAAGGAAACAUUCCAUUCGUUUUUUUUCAAGAUCAUGCCCUAUACCAUAGAAAAUGGAAUGAAAGGUUUGGAAUGAAAUAUCACUGACAUGGUGACUCCAGUAAUUAUUAGCUAUUUAACCCUCUUCAUAUUUAUAUUAAUGAUUUUUUCAAAAAUUCCCAAUUGAGAGUAAAAUAACAUACCUUUCUCUGUUUAGAUUAAUGGAAUGGCAUCUGAAGCAACGGAGAAAUGAAACCAAGACACCCAGAAUAUGGGUGAGCCUUUUGUUUAUGUGAUUUUUUAAAAAAUUCCCAAUUGAGAGUAAAAUAACGUAUCUUUCUGUUUAGAUUAAUGGAAUGGCAUCUGAAGCCCAGUGAACGAGAAUAUCGGCGAGCCUUUUGUUUAAUUGAUUUUUUUUUCAAAAAUUCCCAAUUGAGAGUAAAAUAACAUACCUUCCUCUGUUUAGAUUAAUGAUAUGGCAUCUGAAGCAACUGAGAAAUGGAAACAAGUCAACCAGAAUAUGGGCGAGCCUUUUGUAUAAGUGAUUUUUUUCAAAAAUUCCCAAAUGACAGUAAAAUAACGUACCUUUCUCUGUUUAGAUUAAUGGAAUGGCAUCUGAAGCAACAGAGAAAUGGAACCAAGUCAACCAGAAUAUGGGCGAGCCUUUUGUAUAAAUUAGAUUAAUGGAAUGGCAUAUGAAGCAAUCUAGACAUGGAACCAAGUCAACGAGAAUAUGGGCGAGCCUUUUAUAUAAAUUAAUGAUAUGGCAUCUGAAGCAACUGAAAAUUGGAAACAACUCAACCAGAAUAUGGGCGAGCCUUUUAUAUAAGUGAUUUUUUUCAAAAAUUCCUAUUUGAGAGUAAAAUAACAUACCUUUCUCUGUUUAGAUUAAUGAUAUGGCAUCUGAAGCAACUGAAAAAUGGAAACAACUCAACCAGAAUAUGGGCGAGCCUUUUAUAUAAGUGAUUUUUUUCAAAAAUUCCUAUUUGAGAGUAAAAUAACAUACCUUUCUCUGUUUAGAUUAAUGAUAUGGCAUCUGAAGCAACUGAAAAAUGGAAACAACUCAACCAGAAUAUGGGCGAGCCUUUUAUAUAAGUGAUUUUUUUCAAAAAUUCCUAUUUGAGAGUAAAAUAACAUACCUUUCUCUGUUUAGAUUAAUGAUAUGGCAUCUGAAGCAACUGAAAAAUGGAAACCACUCAACCAGAAUAUGAGCGAGCCUUUUGUAUAAGUGAUUAUUUUCAAAAAUUCCCAAUUGAGAGUAAAAUAACAUACCUUUUUUCUCUGUUUAGAUUAACGGAAUGGCAGCGAAGAACUGCAACCAAGUGACGAAUAUUAGUGAGUGAGAAUUAAUGAUUUUUUGUCAAAAAUUGAUUUUCCAUUGUAAGUAAUGCAAAUUUUCCCUUUUAGAUGAGUGGUACCUAUCGUAUAAGGAGCAAUCGAACAACCCACCCAAGUGGACGAGUGUGUAGGUG
Molecule: long non-coding RNA, 2333 nt
Organism: Photinus pyralis (common eastern firefly)
Lineage: Eukaryota; Metazoa; Arthropoda; Insecta; Coleoptera; Lampyridae
Exons: 3
Source: RefSeq, a predicted model, not a curated record